AGCAGGAGGACAGCAGCCAGCGCUGAGAGGCCCAGGCGCAGGGGGACACCGUCGGGGACGUCGCGCUGGAGCAACCGCUCCCGCCAGCCACGUCGGGCCUCAACUCGGACCUCUAACAGCAGCACGUAGUGUCAUCUUCUCUUUCUAGUCCCUCUGUUUGUGGCUGUAAGUGAAGUAAAGCCUUUCUUCAGUAAAGCAGAGGGAGAAGGAAGAGAGUGAGACACUGCCUCAAGUGUCUGGAGAAAUCGACUGCGACACUGCUGCUGAUUUAAAAGACUUGCUUGGACCUUCAAAGGUCAAACCGGAAAAGACAGUGGAAAUAGCCUGGGACCAAGAGGAUGCGCAGGACUCUGCCCCAGACGAAUGUCUGGGACCUUUGCCUGAAAACGACGGAACUCAGGAGUCGAGUGCUUUCAAGUUUUCCUUCUUUGAAGACACAGAGGAGUUGGGCAUCAAAGAAGGGCCUCACAUACUUGGAACGAUAAAACCGGAAAAAGUCACGUGGCAAGAGGAUUCACAUUUCCAAGACAUCACUUCUGAGGGUGCUGAUGAGCCGGAGAUGUCAGAAAUUGCAAAGCACCAAGAAAGGGUUCUUUCUCUACCACGCACAGAAAGUGCUAGAGUUUUCUUCUUCUCCAUAGAUGACGCACGCCUAAGAGGUAUGACACAACUUCUUCAGUCCCCUUUUGUAUAUUUUUCCCUUUUAAACCCUUACUGGACUUGAGUAAGGAAGAAAAAAUGCUG
This 744-nucleotide long non-coding RNA is filed under the name Cyanistes caeruleus (blue tit). RNAcentral describes it as "lncRNA (ENSCCEG00000004500.1)". Lineage: Eukaryota; Metazoa; Chordata; Aves; Passeriformes; Paridae. The record is from RNAcentral.